Trematomus bernacchii (emerald rockcod) is the source of this 1095-nucleotide long non-coding RNA. RefSeq lists it as uncharacterized. Lineage: Eukaryota; Metazoa; Chordata; Actinopteri; Perciformes; Nototheniidae. The transcript has 2 exons. The record is from RefSeq and is a predicted model, not a curated record.
CUGAUAUUGAAGACCAAGCCGGUGACGAGUGAUAUUUUUCUUAACAUAACUGUUCCUUCGAGCCAGAUCUAAAGACCUCCUCUUCUCUCCAGACUGGACCUGAAACCGUGCACGGGGGAGUCCAGGACUCCUGAGAAAAGACCUCCGCCUUACUCCGUACAGUGAUUUGGUGAAUUGAGAGGCCAGGAUCUGCUGGGGAGAGGACGAGUGACGAGAUCCUAGAACCACCGACCUGGCUCUUUCUUCAAAAUCAGCAGACACAGACGACUUCCUCCCCUGUACAACCCUCCUGUGCCUCUCUCUGUGGAAUCUGAGUUGGCGAUUGGCCUACAACAAACAAAAGCCUGCCCUACACUCCACUCUCCCACGGUGCCAACCUCUACCCACAAUCUACCUCUGCCCUCCCUCCUCCCUCGGCUCCGCUGCAAAUGCCCAAAGCCCCAGCGCUCACCAACCCCCAGAGGCAAACAGAAGACCACCUGGGGAACCAUGCCAGCAGUACGUCAUCGGGUAGGCAAUUCAGAUCUGUUAUAAUCAUAUUAAAGAGUGAUAAUGUCAAAUCCCUUCUGCUAAAAAUAACACUAAUGAUUCCUUAGAUUGGACAAAAAGUCACGGAAUGUACACAGAGAUUAGGUGAAACUGUGGUGCAAUAUUUUGCUCGUUUAAGGGUUGUGUUUUUAUGCAAACAGCGAUAAGACCCAAAUCAAGGACGAGGCAUCACCAUAUUCUCAACAGCAACAAAUGCCUUUUUGAAUGGCCUACAUGGCCCAACUUCAGAGUUUGUCCAGAAACAUCAAGUAAGAUGGCAGACAGCUAGAAUUUGACACCCUAUGCUGUGCAUGCAGCCACAACUAUACAGGACAAGAACAUUUGAGAUAAGAAGAAAGCAGGGUUACAUAUAAUAAUGGAAAUGUUAUGAUCACCCCAUUUCUAACACAUUUUCUGCUCAACUGUUCUUUUCUGAGGUGAACAGAGAGACACUGGCGAGAGCGGAGCCGUGGAGGACGGGAAAGAGGAGGAGGUGGAAAAAAGGGCGAGGAGGCAAACUGGAGGGAGCAGGCUUCACAUGUGGCAAAAAAAAGGACAUUAAAACAA